This 449-nucleotide ribosomal RNA is filed under the name uncultured bacterium. Its description in RNAcentral is "partial 16S ribosomal RNA". It matches the Rfam family "Bacterial small subunit ribosomal RNA", at positions 29 to 523 of the family's 1533-position model. The record is from RNAcentral.
AACGAACGCUGGCGGCAUGCCUAACACAUGCAAGUCGAACGAGAUCUUCGGGUCUAGUGGCGCACGGGUGCGUAACGCGUGGGAAUCUGCUCUUUGGUUCGGAAUAACAGUUGGAAACGACUGCUAAUACCGGAUGAUGACGAAAGUCCAAAGAUUUAUCGCCAGAGGAUGAGCCCGCGUAGGAUUAGCUAGUUGGUGUGGUAAAGGCGCACCAAGGCGACGAUCCUUAGCUGGUCUGAGAGGAUGAUCAGCCACACUGGGACUGAGACACGGCCCAGACUCCUACGGGAGGCAGCAGUGGGGAAUAUUGGACAAUGGGCGAAAGCCUGAUCCAGCAAUGCCGCGUGAGUGAUGAAGGCCUUAGGGUUGUAAAGCUCUUUUACCCGGGAUGAUAAUGACAGUACCGGGAGAAUAAGCUCCGGCUAACUCCCUGCCAGCAGCCGCAGUAA